Transfer RNA from Trichosporon asahii var. asahii CBS 8904, 74 nucleotides. It matches the Rfam family "tRNA". Rfam says of the family: Transfer RNA (tRNA) molecules are approximately 80 nucleotides in length. Their secondary structure includes four short double-helical elements and three loops (D, anti-codon, and T loops). Further hydrogen bonds mediate the characteristic L-shaped molecular structure. tRNAs have two regions of fundamental functional importance: the anti-codon, which is responsible for specific mRNA codon recognition, and the 3' end, to which the tRNAs corresponding amino acid is attached (by aminoacyl-tRNA synthetases). tRNAs cope with the degeneracy of the genetic code in two manners: having more than one tRNA (with a specific anti-codon) for a particular amino acid; and 'wobble' base-pairing, i.e. permitting non-standard base-pairing at the 3rd anti-codon position. The record is from Rfam. NCBI's taxonomy places the organism in Eukaryota, Fungi, Basidiomycota, Tremellomycetes, Trichosporonales, Trichosporonaceae.
GGGAGAAUAGCAUAAUCGGUUAAUGUCCCAUUUUGUCAAGAUGGUUUAUGACGGUUCGAGUCCGUUUUCUCUCG